RNAcentral lists this ribosomal RNA (2795 nucleotides) under Escherichia coli. Its description in RNAcentral is "partial 23S ribosomal RNA". It matches the Rfam family "Bacterial large subunit ribosomal RNA". Lineage: Bacteria; Pseudomonadati; Pseudomonadota; Gammaproteobacteria; Enterobacterales; Enterobacteriaceae. The record is from RNAcentral.
GGUUAAGCGACUAAGCGUACACGGUGGAUGCCCUGGCAGUCAGAGGCGAUGAAGGACGUGCUAAUCUGCGAUAAGCGUCGGUAAGGUGAUAUGAACCGUUAUAACCGGCGAUUUCCGAAUGGGGAAACCCAGUGUGUUUCGACACACUAUCAUUAACUGAAUCCAUAGGUUAAUGAGGCGAACCGGGGGAACUGAAACAUCUAAGUACCCCGAGGAAAAGAAAUCAACCGAGAUUCCCCCAGUAGCGGCGAGCGAACGGGGAGCAGCCCAGAGCCUGAAUCAGUGUGUGUGUUAGUGGAAGCGUCUGGAAAGGCGCGCGAUACAGGGUGACAGCCCCGUACACAAAAAUGCACAUGCUGUGAGCUCGAUGAGUAGGGCGGGACACGUGGUAUCCUGUCUGAAUAUGGGGGGACCAUCCUCCAAGGCUAAAUACUCCUGACUGACCGAUAGUGAACCAGUACCGUGAGGGAAAGGCGAAAAGAACCCCGGCGAGGGGAGUGAAAAAGAACCUGAAACCGUGUACGUACAAGCAGUGGGAGCACGCUUAGGCGUGUGACUGCGUACCUUUUGUAUAAUGGGUCAGCGACUUAUAUUCUGUAGCAAGGUUAACCGAAUAGGGGAGCCGAAGGGAAACCGAGUCUUAACUGGGCGUUAAGUUGCAGGGUAUAGACCCGAAACCCGGUGAUCUAGCCAUGGGCAGGUUGAAGGUUGGGUAACACUAACUGGAGGACCGAACCGACUAAUGUUGAAAAAUUAGCGGAUGACUUGUGGCUGGGGGUGAAAGGCCAAUCAAACCGGGAGAUAGCUGGUUCUCCCCGAAAGCUAUUUAGGUAGCGCCUCGUGAAUUCAUCUCCGGGGGUAGAGCACUGUUUCGGCAAGGGGGUCAUCCCGACUUACCAACCCGAUGCAAACUGCGAAUACCGGAGAAUGUUAUCACGGGAGACACACGGCGGGUGCUAACGUCCGUCGUGAAGAGGGAAACAACCCAGACCGCCAGCUAAGGUCCCAAAGUCAUGGUUAAGUGGGAAACGAUGUGGGAAGGCCCAGACAGCCAGGAUGUUGGCUUAGAAGCAGCCAUCAUUUAAAGAAAGCGUAAUAGCUCACUGGUCGAGUCGGCCUGCGCGGAAGAUGUAACGGGGCUAAACCAUGCACCGAAGCUGCGGCAGCGACGCUUAUGCGUUGUUGGGUAGGGGAGCGUUCUGUAAGCCUGUGAAGGUGUGCUGUGAGGCAUGCUGGAGGUAUCAGAAGUGCGAAUGCUGACAUAAGUAACGAUAAAGCGGGUGAAAAGCCCGCUCGCCGGAAGACCAAGGGUUCCUGUCCAACGUUAAUCGGGGCAGGGUGAGUCGACCCCUAAGGCGAGGCCGAAAGGCGUAGUCGAUGGGAAACAGGUUAAUAUUCCUGUACUUGGUGUUACUGCGAAGGGGGGACGGAGAAGGCUAUGUUGGCCGGGCGACGGUUGUCCCGGUUUAAGCGUGUAGGCUGGUUUUCCAGGCAAAUCCGGAAAAUCAAGGCUGAGGCGUGAUGACGAGGCACUACGGUGCUGAAGCAACAAAUGCCCUGCUUCCAGGAAAAGCCUCUAAGCAUCAGGUAACAUCAAAUCGUACCCCAAACCGACACAGGUGGUCAGGUAGAGAAUACCAAGGCGCUUGAGAGAACUCGGGUGAAGGAACUAGGCAAAAUGGUGCCGUAACUUCGGGAGAAGGCACGCUGAUAUGUAGGUGAAGUCCCUUGCGGAUGGAGCUGAAAUCAGUCGAAGAUACCAGCUGGCUGCAACUGUUUAUUAAAAACACAGCACUGUGCAAACACGAAAGUGGACGUAUACGGUGUGACGCCUGCCCGGUGCCGGAAGGUUAAUUGAUGGGGUUAGCGGUAACGCGAAGCUCUUGAUCGAAGCCCCGGUAAACGGCGGCCGUAACUAUAACGGUCCUAAGGUAGCGAAAUUCCUUGUCGGGUAAGUUCCGACCUGCACGAAUGGCGUAAUGAUGGCCAGGCUGUCUCCACCCGAGACUCAGUGAAAUUGAACUCGCUGUGAAGAUGCAGUGUACCCGCGGCAAGACGGAAAGACCCCGUGAACCUUUACUAUAGCUUGACACUGAACAUUGAGCCUUGAUGUGUAGGAUAGGUGGGAGGCUUUGAAGUGUGGACGCCAGUCUGCAUGGAGCCGACCUUGAAAUACCACCCUUUAAUGUUUGAUGUUCUAACGUUGACCCGUAAUCCGGGUUGCGGACAGUGUCUGGUGGGUAGUUUGACUGGGGCGGUCUCCUCCUAAAGAGUAACGGAGGAGCACGAAGGUUGGCUAAUCCUGGUCGGACAUCAGGAGGUUAGUGCAAUGGCAUAAGCCAGCUUGACUGCGAGCGUGACGGCGCGAGCAGGUGCGAAAGCAGGUCAUAGUGAUCCGGUGGUUCUGAAUGGAAGGGCCAUCGCUCAACGGAUAAAAGGUACUCCGGGGAUAACAGGCUGAUACCGCCCAAGAGUUCAUAUCGACGGCGGUGUUUGGCACCUCGAUGUCGGCUCAUCACAUCCUGGGGCUGAAGUAGGUCCCAAGGGUAUGGCUGUUCGCCAUUUAAAGUGGUACGCGAGCUGGGUUUAGAACGUCGUGAGACAGUUCGGUCCCUAUCUGCCGUGGGCGCUGGAGAACUGAGGGGGGCUGCUCCUAGUACGAGAGGACCGGAGUGGACGCAUCACUGGUGUUCGGGUUGUCAUGCCAAUGGCACUGCCCGGUAGCUAAAUGCGGAAGAGAUAAGUGCUGAAAGCAUCUAAGCACGAAACUUGCCCCGAGAUGAGUUCUCCCUGAC